This is a non-coding RNA of Punica granatum (pomegranate), 2606 nucleotides long. NCBI's taxonomy places the organism in Eukaryota, Viridiplantae, Streptophyta, Magnoliopsida, Myrtales, Lythraceae. The record is from RefSeq and is a predicted model, not a curated record.
AGAAGCAGAUUUCUUCAUUAUUCUCUCUGCUUCUUAAAUUGUAGAAUAUCACCAUAAAAGCUUGCAACUUUAUUAAACAAUGUUCUAUCUCCACACUCCAUUCCCACUCUCCUCGGUGCCCCUUCAUCUUCUUCACGCAAUUCCUCCACCAGAAUCGCAAUGUUUUCCUCCAAGUCUCUCUCUCCUCUACCCCAACAUCUUAUUGUGGUCUCUCUCUCUCUCUCUCUGUUAUGCCCCUGCCUGUAACACCUCAUUUUCUGCAAGUUAAUUGGUGAGCUAAUGGGUAUUGGUGCGUCCAAUUGUGAGCAGGUUCAACUUUCAAGGAGGUGGAAAUGCGGCCAAGGCCUUGACUUGUGCGGCUCGUUUGGGUUUAAACCCAAGACUCAUUUUGAAGGUUGCUGAUGAUGCACAAGGAAAGAGUACCUUGGAAGAACUAGAAGCUGAUGGUGUAGCUACUUCCUUCUUCAUGGUAGGCCUCGGAUGUGAGACCUGACAUUUUUAUUUCUAAUAGCAUACAUAUAUUUAUGCUUACAUAUAUAUCUAUAUAUGCUGAAGUUAAAAAAAAAAAAAACAGAGAGAGAGAGAAAGAUGUGGUGGCAUAGACUCCACGUGGCCCAAAAUCCCCCCCUAAGCAAUCCCUUCCACCGCCUCAGCUUGUCCUCUACAUAAAAAGAAAAUGAAACAAAGAGAAGAAGAUGGGGGCACGGGGGAGAAACACAGAGAGAGAGAGAGAGAGAGAGAGAGAGAGAGAGAGGACGGGCGAUAGAGUGGUAGAGAGGGUGACAAGGAGCUCGAGAUGAAACUCAUGCAAGAGAGGGCCGAGCUUCAGCUCUGUUCACAAGACGAAGAACAGAGCAGACCAGACCAGAGAGUCGGGGAGAGAGGAGGACAAUACGUCUUGAGCUCUUGAAUUGGAUCGAGGAGACUGAAUACUUGGACUUUGAAGGUGCAACCCAGUGAGCUAUUUUCUUGGAGUUGUCGAUAAGCUUCUAGUUGUGUGGAAGAACCACUUUUUGAUGUCGGGGAUCAGCUAGGAGGACUAGGUCGCCAAGGAGGGUAAUUCACCAUUUACCUAUAUCAUUGUUGACAAUGAAAAGAAAACAAGAACCUGUAUACAUACCCCUGGAUAUUCUCCCAUGAUACCAACUGACCUUUCUCCGUCAAGUCUGCUAUCUGCACCCGAAGAGACAAAGGGUUGUCUACUUUGAUGGAAGGUUGCAUGAAACUGCUUUAAUUGUAGCUCAAGAGGAAAUCACAUUAUAACUGAUUCCCAUUUAACUUGGUAAUUUUGUUAGUUGUAGACCUACUUUUAUGGAGUCAUGUGGAUGAUAGAAUGAUAUGUUAAUUUGCAAUAUUUGAGCUAUAACGAUUGAUACAUAAUCUUAAGAAUCAGAUCGUGUUUUCUACGAAACUUAAGUUGGGUGAGUAUUCGUGGUCUCUUUAAUAUGCGGGAGUAGUGCUUUUUCCUCGCUUCACUUAUGGGUAUAGAAAACCUUCAUCAUCUGAACUUUGUGGGAAGUAAGCAGCAUUGUGUUUCUGGGAGAGCAGGCCACUCGCAGGAAUAUACUGAUACUAAUGGAUACAGAAAGGAUAAGAGAAGGAGUGGACUCGAGCUCCAUCUAUUGCAAGCUCGUUUGUUUCUAUGAUGAUUAGACUGCCAAAACUGAAAUUCGCCAUCGUUACCUUGGGCAAAGAAAGGAUGCGUAAUGCUAAAGAGGAGUAGUGAUGUCCGUCAUUGAGCAGAAGAAGCUGAUGUGGACAGCUUGCUGGAAAUUCUGAAACAGCAGAAAGAUGAUAGACCAUUCCAACAUGUGUUGAAUCGUCGGUGACAAAGUUAAGAGCUGACGGGAUAGGGACCGUAAGCGGAAGGUUACUAUUGGGAACAACUGAGAAAAUUCCGCCAACAGAACUCGUUGAUACAGCCGGUGCAGGGGAUGCAUUUAUAGGCGCUACUCCAUAUGGUGAUCCUUUCAUUAUUUUCGUAGAAAGUUCUUGCCGCUUUAGUUGAAUGAGCUAAGAAGUCAUGAGUUCUUCAGACUCUUGCGAAAUAAUUAGAUGUCAUGAAUUAAUCCUUUUUCCUUGGCUAACUGUUGGUCCAGUAGACAUUCUGCUAAAAUACAAUUCCUGCAGAAGAGGCGAAGUCUAAAGGUAGAGGGAAAGAAUGUCUGUAAACUGGUUUUUGCUAAUAUGUAUGGUGUGGCUGCUGUACCACUGAAUUCUUAGAUCCAAACAAUCCAUCGUUGUUUGUGAGCAGCUGUAGCAUUGGGCAAAAGGAAAAAGGAAAACCAAAAGACAAGUAUGCAGAGGGAGACUCGUGAUCAUCUCUUUUUUAAAUGUCUUGUUACCCAAGGAAUUUGGAAAAGUUUGCUAGCUCGAAUCGGUUUGCACCGAACUACGGUGAGUUGGAAUACGGAAAUCAACUGGAUUGCUUCCCUUCGAGGGAAGAAGCUUGAUGUCAUUUGCCUCAAGCUUCUUUGGACUCACUACAUAUACUGUACAUGGCGAGAGAGGAAUGUCAGAAUUUACCAAAAGCAUAUCUCUCCUCCAGCGGCAAUAGUUCAGGAGGUCUUUGCAGAUGUGAAAGCGAAGCUGAGUGUUUACCCCCG